RNAcentral lists this ribosomal RNA (572 nucleotides) under Scarus frenatus (bridled parrotfish). RNAcentral's name for it is "partial large subunit ribosomal RNA". It matches the Rfam family "Bacterial large subunit ribosomal RNA", at positions 1830 to 2597 of the family's 2925-position model. The record is from RNAcentral. Lineage: Eukaryota; Metazoa; Chordata; Actinopteri; Labriformes; Labridae.
CUUGCAAAAUCAACAAAUAAAGAGGUCCGCCGGCCCUGUGACUAUAUGUUUAACGGCCGCGGUAUUUUGACCGUGCGAAGGUAGCGCAAUCACUUGUCUUUUAAAUGGAGACCUGUAUGAAUGGCACGACGAGGGCUUAACUGUCUCCUUUCCUAAGUCAAUGAAAUUGAUCUCUCCGUGCAGAAGCGGGGAUAGACCCAUAAGACGAGAAGACCCUAUGGAGCUUCAGACACUAAAACAGCCCAUGUUAAGAACCCUCACAAAAGAGACCAAACUAGAUGGUCCCUGUCCUAAUGUCUUUGGUUGGGGCGACCACGGGGUAACAAAAAACCCCCGCGCGGAACAGAAACACUGUUUCCAGAACCAAGAGCACCCGCUCUAAGUAACAAGACCCACUUGACCUUUGAGAUCCGGCACAAGCCGAUCAACGGACCGAGUUACCCUAGGGAUAACAGCGCAAUCUUCUUCGAGAGUUCAUAUCGACGAGAAGGUUUACGACCUCGAUGUUGGAUCAGGACAUCCUAAUGGUGCAGCCGCUAUUAAGGGUUCGUUUGUUCAACGAUUAAAGUCCU